UCGAGCGCGAGAUUGAGGAGCUUGCUCCUCAUGAUCGAGCGGCGGACGGGUGAGUAACACGUAGGCAACCUACCCUUGAGAUUGGGAUAACUACCGGAAACGGUAGCUAAUACCGGAUACGACUUUCCUGCAUAAGCAGUUAAGUUAAAAGGCGGAUUUAUCUGCCGCUCAUGGAUGGGCCUGCGGUGCAUUAGCUAGUUGGUGAGAUAGUGGCUCACCAAGGCGACGAUGCAUAGCCGACCUGAGAGGGUGAUCGGCCACACUGGGACUGAGACACGGCCCAGACUCCUACGGGAGGCAGCAGUAGGGAAUCUUCCGCAAUGGACGCAAGUCUGACGGAGCAACGCCGCGUGAGUGAUGAAGGGUUUCGGCUCGUAAAACUCUGUUGUUAAGGAAGAACACUUGAGGUAGUAACUGGCCUUGAGAUGACGGUACUUAACCAGAAAGCCACGGCUAACUACGUGCCAGCAGCCGCGGUAAUACGUAGGUGGCAAGCGUUAUCCGGAAUUAUUGGGCGUAAAGCGCGCGUAGGCGGUAAAAUAAGUCUGAUGUGAAAGCCCCCGGCUCAACCGGGGAGGGUCAUUGGAAACUGUUUUACUUGAGUACAGAAGAGGAGAGUGGAAUUCCAUGUGUAGCGGUGAAAUGCGCAGAG
Molecule: ribosomal RNA, 652 nt
Filed under: uncultured bacterium
Lineage: Bacteria
Description: bacterial SSU rRNA
Rfam family: Bacterial small subunit ribosomal RNA
Source: RNAcentral